UUCUAUUUACCCAGUUCUUAUCGGAGCCACGCCGGACAGUCGGUCUCCAAAUAGGGACAAGAGCUUCGAUGGUAUGCGUUCACACAGACAGGCUGGAGGUCUGGUUUGGGCUGUCGAAGUGCUCGUGGAGCCUGGUCGAUUUUCCCGAGUGUCGUCGCGACGGUCUAUAUCCGUCACCCGGCGACCCUUUCCGGUGACAGGCUCGGACGAUUUUACGGCCGAGUCAACGAACCCCUGGCAGACACCUACGCGCGGCCAACCAAAUUCACACCCGUCCGGUUAUUAGAAUUCAUGGCCAGCCAAGCAAAGGAACGAGCAAGCAAACGGCAGCAGGGACCGCCGGGACGUGGCCGAGCACCGCAUUUGUUUUGCUACUUACCGCGUCGCUGGUUCUACGCUGCGCCUCGGAGCUCGCCCCUAGUAUAUCGGCCGGGUAUCGACGGGCGAAAUCCUGUUCGUACGCAGCUGCAAUAGAACCGAGCCGUGGACGAAGCACUGGCCUGGGGGGCCUCCUGGAGAAUUUAUUUACACAUCGUCGCCCGCGAGCCGGAGGACCCACUCGAUCUCGUCGCGAUGCGAGGCAGCCGUUUCGCGGCCAGCUUCAAGGAAGAGGAUAGCGCACCCUGGACGUCGACUUUCUUGUCACUGUCGUGCUUCUGUAUCGCGCAGCAGGGUCCUUCGCGGUCUACGAUAUCCUGUAGAGGCAGAGGCAGCCCUCUCUCGUCUCGAGCAGCGAGGAGGAUCUUCGAUCGUCGGAGGGAUCCAGAGGGUGGUUCGCCAAGAAAAUGGACCUACCGAUGAUCCAGUCGUCGGACAACACUCGUGGAAUUGUCUCGCGCGAGGGUGCAAUCUAUGAUAAAUCCUCCGUCCAAUCACAGCGCUGGUACUGGCUCGAGGAUGGAGAUCCUAUAGCGGGCUCCAGGUAUUGUUACACACAGGUCGGUCCGUCGACGGCCCGGUGGCCGGAUCGAUAAUCAGGUUCGCUCUCAAAUCUGGUGGCAGCCAGAGGCGAACGCGUCGCGAGCGUUCUGCAUACGUCGUGGGCCGAGAACGACUCUGUCGAGGUAGCAGCGGCGAGGACGAGGAGGCAUCGUUGCAUCGGAAGUGCGGCGUUCCCAGGUGCGCUUCGAUCGACCGUCACGGCAGCACUGCGCGAAAUUAAAUCACCGCACGAGCCGGCUCCGCAACACCGAGAAAGAACACCAUUGCCACGGCUAAGGGCACGAACAACGCUGCCAAAAACGUGCGUAACCGUCGACCAGGCUAUCCAUGACGUCGCUAGUGAUAGCCGAUGGAUGCGCGCGGCUGCUCCGUCUCUCUCGUACUAGCUUCGCCCGUCGUACCUCCGCUUCGAUCCUCUUCCUUCCUCUCGCGGUCGCCGAUCUAUCCGUCUCCGUCUCGCACGGCGGCGUCUCCUCGCGCGUCCCUUCGACGCUUCCAGCCAGCUGAUCGUUGCGGGAACCCGCGCAGGCGUCGCGACGCUCCGAUAUAUGUUGAACCGCGGGACGUCGUUGGGCGUGCUUGGACGUGCGAGGCCAGGCGAAGCGUCGCGACGCUACGCGGCGCCCCCGGGAUCGUUGUUGAGAAUUUCGCCGCUGGAGGCAGCCCGUCCCGCGUCCCCAGCACACACCGACCAUAUGGACAAAUUGUAACGGGAAUUGGAAUUCCUCGGCCAUGCUGAUCGAUGAUGACGAUGAUGGCCGCUUUGGGGCCGAAAGGAUUUAUACAGGCGGCGAUGCACGCUGCGCUCGUUUGCGAACCUCGCACCGCCGGCCGGCCAGCCCGCCCGCCGAAAAACCGGCGGUCCGCGUCCAAUGUUUUCCGUUCCCGAAUCCCGCUGAGCAUGAUUUAUCCGGCCGCGAUAAAUUCCGCGCGUCUUGCUCGUUAUUUCGCAGCUUUGUUAUUUAAACGAGCACUCGCCGCACCGCUUCGAAUUUAUGAAUGACCCGCUCGAACGCCUCGAGAGACGUUCGGGGGGUGCAGCGAAUUCUGCGCUUCCGCGGCGCGAUUCCACGCGUCCACGCAUUAUUCUCCUUUCGUUCUAUACGCGCGAUACUCGAAUUAUUAAAAAAAGUUCGAACGCUCCGCUUCUAAUCCGCGAGACCGCCGCGUCGGUUGUCACCGGUUAAUUAACCGCUGUACAUUUACGAUCUUCGAAUGCAUUGAACGGUUAAUGUUUUAUACGUUCUCCGGCGCGCCGAACAGCGGAGAAAAGUUUGUAAUCCCCGUGAAUAAUUAAGAACGCAAAGUGGGCUGGUUCCCGUGACUAAGAGUGCUAACUCGUGUAACAUGCUGAAAAUAACGCGGUUUUUAGGAAUGUAUCCCAUGGAAACUUUCCACGGUGCUUUGCAGCCAACGUUGCUGCAUAUUUCAGGGCCUAGAGAAAACAGGUUUCCGAAAUGCGAAUCAGCUAUCGUCGGACACACGCCGCGGUUAUCGCCACACGCGUUCGCCCGAAACGGAAUAAUUAAGAGGCAGCGGAGACGGACGAUCAUUAUUUUUGCUCGUGAUAUCGACGGUACAUCAUUUACUUUCUUACAUUUGACACUUCGUUUCCGAAGCACACGUCGUCCACUUUGACGGCGUAAUCAAUAUUCCUUUCAGUUCCUAGACCGCUGUGUUCGAAAAGAAUUGUCUUUUGUUCGAACCGUUCCGGAGCCAAAUAGCAAUUAGUAUCGCUAAGCGUAAUCGACGAACUUCUUUUCCACUACCGUUAGGCCACGUAGAUUCGAAUCUAAAAGCCUCUCGUUACGUCUGAUACACGGCUGUAAAAUCGACAGUAACUUUGUUAAUAGAUCGCGUUUCAAUCCUCACCUUGGGGAAUCUAUUCGACAGAUGCAGCACUAUCGGCUUAUGCAACAAAGUCGGGUAUGCAGGACCGGUUACGUGAGCCGCAGCCCUUAACGCAGUGCUGUUCUUCCAUCUUCGGUGUCGGCAGCUUGCGGAAUUCGUCUCUGCCAUUUAUUUAUGGAUUUCUCACGCACGGCCAUUAAAGUGUCAAGGGACCCAAACAGUGGACAUUCGGCCAGCCAGCCACCCAGGGCGAUCGUGGUCGCUAGGAAUCUCCUCGAUCAAACAAUUACUCAUCCGGGAUGAAAUAUUCAAUUUCGUAACGGCAAAUCCGAUAUUUCGUUAAUCGAUUACACGGCGGACUCUUUACCGCGACAACUUGUUCGAGGUAGGAGCAGCACCGUGCGACAGAGCCCCGCCACGAUCGUUCUCACUUUCAGCGAUAAAUUUCUUUCGGCCGGAGAACCGUGAAUUCGAUAGAAACGAUCGAGUCGCGGCCCGUUCGCAAUGGGGAGGCUCGGGGCGAAGCGACGAAACCGACGAUAAACAAAUUGAUAAGCAACGCGCGUCACAAAAUUUAAUUGCCGAUGAGCAGACCAGAAUCGGCGGUGACGGGGUCGUGGGGCGCGCGGUGGCGAAUGCGGCGGAAGAGGAAGGGGGACAGGUGGACGGUGAACGGGUGAACCUGCAUCGCGUCGGUUGAUAACAACGGGUUGCGUAACCACGCUCGGAUAGACGGCCAUUCUCGUCGCCGAUUUUACUCUGCACACGAUGAAACAGAUACACCCAUGUCACUGCGAUUGUUUAACAAACGCAGCGAGCGUUUAGAUCGGGCCGGGCUCGGGCCGGAGCCGGAGCCGGUACCAGCGCGCGCGCGGCCUCGCGCUCGCGUCGAGGAGCCUCAGAUAAGAGCUUAUUCCGGCUGCUUGCGCAGCGAAUCUAUUAUCAGCCAUCAGGCCAGAUCGCAUCUGGUUCCGACCACGGUUGACAUGUUUUAUUUACAACGUCGGGAUGUAAUCGGGAGACCCAAUUUCUUCUUGCCCCUUUCUUCAUCGGAUCCCGCGGCGCGAGCGAGCGAGAGCGCCGACGCUCUAUUGAUGACGGCAAUUCCGGCACCGUUGAAGGAAACGGAAACCGUUUCGAUUUCGAGGCCGAGGAACGGCCUCGUAUAUAAUUCUGCUACGGCCGCGGAGAGAGACGCGCUACCGAUCGAAGAAUGCUACCUGCUCCUUGUGCCGUUGUCGCGUAAUUAAUAUUCAGACCGUCGCGCCGCCUCUUGACUGAUCGGGCUGUUUACCUCCGCGGCCUGCGAUCAUCAACCCCUUAAUUGGGGCCGUUAGUCACGCACAUUUGCCGAGCGAAAAAGAAACGCGCGGGCGCGGUGGAAAUUAGCGCGGCUCAUCUAGGACUGAACAAACCAGGCUUCCCCGCGAAUAUAUAACUAAUUAUGCCGGCUCGUUAGAUUUACGGCAGACUCGCGCGUAAAUCGGUUGAAGGCCGAUUUAAGAGCCGUUUUAUAUCAUCCAUUUCAGGCACGGAACGUUUAUGGAACAGCUGGGUUCGGACAGAUGCGUCUAGUAUAUAUAUAUAUCAUGUUAGGCAGCGACAGUCGUCGACAAAUUCUUUCGUUCAACGUACAAUUGUCGGUUAAAAAUGUUUGCACUAUUAUUACACGAAGCGGACGGGAAUCGAAAAAGGAAACGUUGUCCCGCCGUACGUUAUAUAUUAAAGAGAAGAAAAACCGAUGGAGAACGUCGGAUAUAGUUUAAAAAAUUAAUAAAAAGAUCUUCCAGUAUUUUAGAAUGUCUAUGAAUUCAUAAUUUUUCCGAUUUCGUUCCACGCGGACACCAUUUUAUUAUCGUCACUGUAACUUUUCUCUUCUCGAUCGUGCUCGUACAAAAACCUAUAAUCUCUUGCUAACUCUAUUCAUUUUUGGUUAUGCCAGAAUAUAUACAUACGGUACGAAACGUAUUCAGAAACGGAUCGCCUCCGAGUCCGAACCGAUAUAGGCGACCCUAUACAUAUAUAAACAUUCGUACGUUUAGUUCAACAGCGAUGUUUGAUUUCGCCGAAUCAGGCCGAAACGGAUAAUAUAAAUGGACCUUAAUGCGUUACGCGUUAUUGUUACACGAAAAUUUUCCUUUCGUAACACGGAACAAUAUUGUUGACGCGCGCGAACAUUUUUUUCCACGUAAGUUCGACGAAAGAAAUAAUUUAACUUUACCACGUGGUAUAAUUAAAACCGGAACAAGCGCUUUUGUAAUGCCGAUCGUUAAUCACCGUCCGAGUUGUCCGAAGUUACGAUCUAUCAUUAUCAAUAUUCAGUGUAAUUAGCUGUUCGUUUCUAAAGCGUUGAGAAAUUUUUUCCGAGAACGCCGCGGGUUAGCGAAGAACGUUCAAUGGAUCUGGCUUCGGUUAUUACGCGGCGGCGUCGUUAAACGGAGGUAGACGUUAAGAUUAAGGAACACAACUGAACAGAUUUUAGGUAAAUGUUUGUGCAGUAAAGCUUAGAAGCCGGACAAAAGCGAUUGCCUGGUUAAAUCGCUUGACGUAGAACUCUGCGCCACGUGUGGCUUAGCCGACUAAGCUUGAUGCACAAAUGUGUGACACUAUGUGUGACCCGGAUAGAUAUCAUUUUAUACAGGAUGAGUCUAAAUGAAUGUUCCAAAAGUUUAUGGUUACAUUUUAUCGUGGCGGGAUCUAGAAAAGUGCACGAAGCAAUUUUUCUCCCGGAUGGGAACGGUUUACCGGGCGAUAUCAAACGUGGCCGCCGCGAUUUACCAUGUCUCGACGCUUAAAGCAAAUAAGUUUUCUCUUUUUUUGUUUUCGAACGAUAAAAUCGGAUACACCGAAUUAGACGAUUCGAAAUUUCCGGAGAAAUGUUAUGGAACGGAGAAAACGGAUGGCGCGCGCGCGAAUAAAUUAAAUGUUAAAACGCUGUGGGUUUAACGUGCUCGGUGUAAUUACAUAACGACACAUUCUAAUGAUGAUAAUUAAUUGGGGUAAUCGAUAUGCGACAGUCGUUCAACAAGCUCGAUAAUCUAAAUACUAUUUAAGCGUCCGAUAUCUAUUUAAUUUGCGACAAUUUGUUUCGCUUUGACGCGAUAAAUCUUUCCUAUAAUCAAUUGGUUGUUACAUGCAUUGUUGUAAUUAAUCGCUAAUCUCUCCUGGAACCGCGUUUCAAUUUUCAAUCGAACCGGAUACAUACCUUGGGCCACGGGUAUUGUCCAACAAUUAUUUAUCUCGAUAUAUUUAUCUAUUUGAUGUCGGCCAUGAUUCUCCGUAGCAAAGUACCCGCCCGGCGAUGCAUGAUUCACGGUGGAACUGAUAAAGGCUAUUUUGGCAACAAGAAGCUCGCUGACCCACGUUUAUCAAAAUGUUUUUGUUGCAGCCGAACGAGCAAAAUGUACCGCAAACUUUCCGACAACUUCAAUUCGUCUUGCAUAAUGAUACUCUUUCUUUGGUUACAUCAAUACCCUGGACGGAUAAUCUAUUUCGCUGGAAAGAUACGUUUGCUUCGAUCAUGGGCGACAGCGGGAUAAAAUAUCCGCAGUCGAACCAGAGCAAAACGGCGGAACGAUCCCUUUAUUAUCAAUUCGUCGUGGUGAAAAUUCUGCUUUGUUUGACAGAAACAACGAAAGAAAUAUGAAAAAAACGUGAUCCGUGUUUCUUUAAAUACAGUAAUUAAUUCAAAUAGAAAUCAGCACACUGCCAGUGCGAACGCAGACCAAAACUUUAUGACCAUGAUCCAACGAGCCGAACUUGUAAUGAAAUUAUCAUGCGUAAUCUACUGAAUAUAAAUGUUACUAACAA
Non-coding RNA from Megalopta genalis, 6603 nucleotides. The record is from RefSeq and is a predicted model, not a curated record. NCBI's taxonomy places the organism in Eukaryota, Metazoa, Arthropoda, Insecta, Hymenoptera, Halictidae.